Molecule: ribosomal RNA, 256 nt
Filed under: uncultured bacterium
Lineage: Bacteria
Description: partial 16S ribosomal RNA
Rfam family: Bacterial small subunit ribosomal RNA
Source: RNAcentral
UACGGAGGGUGCGAGCGUUGUCCGGAAUCAUUGGGCGUAAAGGGCGCGUAGGUGGCCUUCUAAGCGUGCGGUGAAAGCCUGGGGCUCAACCCCGGGUCGGCCGUGCGAACUGGGGGGCUUGAGCACUGUAGAGGCAGGCGGAAUUCCGGGUGUGAGCGGUGGAAUGCGUAGAGAUCCGGAAGAACACCGGUGGCGAAGGCGGCCUGCUGGGCAGUUUUGCUGACACUGAGGCGCGACAGCGUGGGGAGCAAACAGG